Molecule: ribosomal RNA, 460 nt
Filed under: uncultured bacterium
Lineage: Bacteria
Description: partial 16S ribosomal RNA
Rfam family: Bacterial small subunit ribosomal RNA
Source: RNAcentral
CCUACGGGAGGCAGCAGUGAGGAAUAUUGGUCAAUGGGCGAGAGCCUGAACCAGCCAAGUCGCGUGAAGGAUGACGGCCCUACUGGUUGUAAACUUCUUUUGUCAGGGAGCAAUUGGGUCCACGCGUGGGCUUAGCGAGAGUACCUGAAGAAAAAGCAUCGGCUAACUCCGUGCCAGCAGCCGCGGUAAUACGGGGGAUGCGAGUGUUAUCCGGAUUUAUUGGGGUUAAAGGGUGCGUAGGCGGAAUAUAAAGUCAGCGGUAAAAAUGCGGGGCUAAACCCCGUCGUGCCGUUGAAACUGAUGUGCUUGAGUGCGCGAGAAGUAUGUGGAAUGCGUGGUGUAGCGGUGAAAUGCAUAGAUAUCACGCAGAACUCCGAUUGCGAAGGCAGCAUACCGGCGCCCAACUGACGCUGAAGCACGAAAGCGUGGGGAUCGAACAGGAUUAGAUACCCGAGUAGUC